AGGAGUAUAACUCAGUUGGUAGAGUAGCGGUCUCCAAAACCGCCUGUCGUAGGUUCGAUUCCUACUACUCCUGCCA
RNAcentral lists this transfer RNA (76 nucleotides) under Clostridiales bacterium. RNAcentral describes it as "tRNA-Trp". It matches the Rfam family "tRNA". From Rfam's summary of the family: Transfer RNA (tRNA) molecules are approximately 80 nucleotides in length. Lineage: Bacteria; Bacillati; Bacillota; Clostridia; Eubacteriales. The record is from RNAcentral.